This 451-nucleotide ribosomal RNA is filed under the name uncultured bacterium. RNAcentral's name for it is "partial 16S ribosomal RNA". It matches the Rfam family "Bacterial small subunit ribosomal RNA", at positions 29 to 523 of the family's 1533-position model. The record is from RNAcentral.
AAUGAACGCUGGCGGCAGGCCUAAAACAUGCAAGUCGAACGCUUGUAGCAAUACAAGAGUGGCGCACGGGUGCGUAACAUGUGGGAAUAUGCCUUUUGGUACGGAACAACGUUUGGAAACGAACGCUAAUACCGUAAGGUCCCUUCGGGGUAAAGAUUUAUCGCCAAAAGAUUAGCCCGCACUGGAUUAGCUAGUUGGUGAGGUAAUGGCUCACCAAGGCGACGAUCCAUAGCUGGUCUGAGAGGACGAUCAGCCACACUGGGACUGAGACACGGCCCAGACUCCUACGGGAGGCAGCAGUUAGGAAUAUUGGACAAUGGGCGCAAGCCUGAUCCAGCCAUGCCGCGUGAACGAUGAAGGCCUUCGGGUUGUAAAGUUCUUUAGCCGAUGAUUAUAAUGACUGUAGUCGGAAAAUAAGCCCCGGCUAACUUCGUGCCAGCCGCCGCAGUAA